UAAUACAUUAUCUGGUUGAAGUGUCC
Molecule: non-coding RNA, 26 nt
Filed under: Rattus norvegicus (Norway rat)
Lineage: Eukaryota; Metazoa; Chordata; Mammalia; Rodentia; Muridae
Source: RNAcentral